This 497-nucleotide ribosomal RNA is filed under the name uncultured bacterium. RNAcentral's name for it is "partial 16S ribosomal RNA". It matches the Rfam family "Bacterial small subunit ribosomal RNA", at positions 28 to 507 of the family's 1533-position model. The record is from RNAcentral.
GAUGAACGCUGGCGGCGUGCCUAAUACAUGCAAGUCGAGCGAACGGACGAGAAGCUUGCUUCUCUGAUGUUAGCGGCGGACGGGUGAGUAACACGUGGAUAACCUACCUAUCAUACUGGGAUAACUUCGGGAAACCGGAGCUAAUACCGGAUAAUAUUUUGAACCGCAUGGUUCAAAAGUGAAAGACGGUCUUGCUGUCACGUAUAGAUGGAUCCGCGCUGCAUUAGCUAGUUGGUAAGGUAACGGCUUACCAAGGCAACGAUGCAUAGCCGACCGGAGAGGGUGAUCGGCCACACUGGAACUGAGACACGGUCCAGACUCCUACGGGAGGCAGCAGUAGGGAAUCUUCCGCAAUAGGCGAAAGCCUGACGGAGCAACGCCGCGUGAGUGAUGAAGGUCUUCGGAUCGUAAAACUCUGUUAUUAGGGAAGAACAUAUGUGUAAGUAACUGUGCACAUCUUGACGGUACCUAAUCAGAAAGCCACGGCUAACUACGUG